CAGAAAAUAGUUUAUAAAAAAAAUAUUAAUUUUGGGAAUUAAAGAAGAGUUAUUAUUAUUCUUUUCUGA
This 69-nucleotide transfer RNA is filed under the name Chironomus tentans. RNAcentral describes it as "tRNA-Pro". The record is from RNAcentral. Lineage: Eukaryota; Metazoa; Arthropoda; Insecta; Diptera; Chironomidae.